This 292-nucleotide ribosomal RNA is filed under the name uncultured bacterium. RNAcentral's name for it is "partial 16S ribosomal RNA". It matches the Rfam family "Bacterial small subunit ribosomal RNA", at positions 505 to 796 of the family's 1533-position model. The record is from RNAcentral.
GUGUCAGCAGCCGCGGUAAUACAGAGGUUCCAAGCGUUGUUCGGAUUCACUGGGCGUAAAGGGUGCGUAGGCGGUGGGGUGAGUUUGAGGUGAAAUCUCCGGGCCCAACCCGGAAAAUGCCUUGAAUACUAUCCCGCUGGAGGAUCGGAGGGGAGACUGGAAUUCUCGGUGUAGCAGUGAGAUGCGUAGAUAUCGAGAGGAACACCAGUGGCGAAGGCGGGUCUCUGGACGAUUCCUGACGCUGAGGCACGAAAGCCAGGGGAGCAAACGGGAUUAGAUACCCCGGUAGUCC